AUGCAGUAAUAGCCAAUAGGUAAUAGCUGCAGUACAAAGUAGGUAUAAUAGGGAAAAUUAGCAUUUAAACCAAUUUUCAUAAUUGUAUACACUAUUCGUUCUCAUAGUAAUAUAUACAUUAUAAUAUAAUUAUUUGGUGACUUAAUGUCAACAAAAUUAAAGUUUCACCACAUCAGAUAAACGUUAAAAACAAAAUGUGACGUAUUAUGUUCAUUAAUUUAAAAUACGAUAAAUUACUAAGUAAUAAGAAAAACCUAAUGAUAAUUAAUGCAAAACGAAUUGUAAGUUGGAGAAACUAAGUAUAUAAUUAUUAUUUAUCAAUUUGGUUUCCUAUAAACCUAUAUAAAGGUCCUAAUCCGACCGAAACGAAUUUUGUGAAUUUUCAUAUAUAAUGAUCAUUAUUUUAGCGACACCACCUUUAAAAACACUUUUAUUCGUAUAAUGCAGUCAAUCUCACUUAAACCUCACAAAACUACGACUAUAAUCGCCUAAUUUAUUACUUUUUUAUAUCGCCUCUUGUAUAACCAUACAUCAACACGUCUUGCAACAAAUUAAUAAUAAAUUAUAUCUAUAGGUAGGUAAUUACUGAUGAAUACAUUUUAAAUUCAUAGUUUUAGAGAAAUUAAAUUCGGUCGAAUGUAUAUAAUAUUGCAGUCGUUAUUAUCUUUCUUGUACAAUUUGACUUGAUCUUUAAAAACUAAAAUUAAAACCUCAAAAAUCGUCCUCGGCCAUUCGAACCAUUCUCGAUUCGACAAUAUUUUCAAUCGACCAGAAGUCAUAGUGCACACGGUUUUAUAAAAAGGUGCGUUUCGUAUUAUAUACAUUAAUAUCGGAUGAGUAUUAGAUUGGGUUUAUCUAAUGCGCGCAUCGUUGUUCACGUCUUGUUCCCAUUCCGAAGUACACACGAAUGUUAACGCCUUUCGGGUUUUCCGUGACGAGAAGACAUCACAUUAUAUUACACAAAAUAAAAUCGACCGUGUUCCUCGGUUCUUCCAUCCGGUCGACACAGCGCACGGAAGUCUCCGACGCUCACGGGCCCUCGUCCGUCGAACCGUUCAACGAAAACGUUUUUUUUUUUUUUAUUCCCGACGCGCUGCGGCCUUCAGACGUAUUUCUCGUAACCGGACCGUCUCGUCGUCGUUGUCGCGUAUAUCCGCUGCCGCCGCCGACGUCGUUAAAAAUACAUCGCCGCCACCGCCCAGCGUUUUCCUGGACUCGAGUUAUCGGGGAUAUAACGUUAAUCGGAACGCGUUGACGCGAAAACGAUUUCUGAAAACUCGCACAAAACCAACACGAGAUCGCCAGGGUGCGAUCGUUGUUGUUAUUAUCACACUAUCAUCAUCAUCAUCAUCGAUUACUACAGUACUGGGCGGCUAAGUCAAACGCCGGUCACAGCGCACACAGGUGUCAACGAUGAUGAGGUAUAAAUGUAUAAUCCAAGUAAAAAAUAUCGUAGCCAGUGUCGUAUCGAGCUGCAGUUUGAAACGUAAUCGCGGAAGAGAUUUGAUUUCAAAAAACAUUCUAUGGAUCGGACUCGUCGGCAAAAAAAAAAAUAAGAAGAACGUACAAACGGCAGAGGCGAUCGAGAAGCGGUUUCAGGGUUUUUAUGGAAAAAAAAAAAAGAACAUAAUGUGAGAAAAUAUUAAAUAAUCAACACGCUUC
Molecule: long non-coding RNA, 1662 nt
Organism: Aphis gossypii (cotton aphid)
Lineage: Eukaryota; Metazoa; Arthropoda; Insecta; Hemiptera; Aphididae
Exons: 2
Source: RefSeq, a predicted model, not a curated record